UUCUUUUUUAAUGUGGUUUGGCUCAACAAACAAUAUUUUCUUUGUGGCAUACUGCACUAGCUCUGAUUUGAGUACUUCAAUUCAGCAUAAAGUAGCUUAUUUUCCCUCCUAUUGUUAGUCUGCAAUGAUAUGUACUGUCCUCAAGUACACUGUCGUGUUUUGGCAAGCGAUUUGAAGCUAGCGUGCUGUAUUUUUGCAGGUGAUUGCUUUAAUCCAAUUUUGCAAGCAAUCUAAAGCCAACAGGCCUUGUUUCUUCCCAAAGUGGUGGCGGUUAGAGGCUAGCAGUACUUAUGGUGUGCAGUUUAAAUUAUUUAAGGAAGAUUUGAUUUUCCCCACAAAAAAGGAAGACUUGAUUUGAUGCCUCUAACUGAUUAUAUCUUUAAUCAAACAAUGGAUAUUGAAUAACUGCAUCAUAUUUGGAGGUAACAGUGACGUGUCAUAAGUUUUGGGAUACAGGCAAUACUUUACUUUACUUACCAAAUUACAUUACUAAUAGAAAAUUUACUUAUAAUGAUAGGAAAUCGUGUCUGUAUUGAUGGAGCUCGAACUACAUAGUACAAUCAACAUGUGUCUAGCUCAGAGCUCUUGUCCUAUAAUUCCAUGUUAUGCAUGAUUUCUUCUAAAGUUUCCAUGAAUUUUGCUUUACAUCAAAAACUUAAUCGAACUCCUUCCAGGACAAAAGUAAACAAUACUACAUAUCUUGAUAUAAAUCCUCUGAGUAGUAUGCCCCAAUUUUUAGUUCUUCAUAUACAUUUUUACUUGCAUAGUAUAUUAAUUUUUCUCAAAACAGGUACAUACUUCUAUCAUGCAUAGCGAGUGUAUGAAACAUCUUUUUUAAUUAAGAUGUCCUUCAAUAAAAAUAUUGUAUAUUUAGAAAUAUUUGGAUAACAUACAUGAUCUGUAUAUUCUUUUUCAAGUAGAGUUAGGAAUAUAUUUUUAAUUAAGAAACAUAUUUUGUACAG
Molecule: long non-coding RNA, 962 nt
Filed under: Triticum aestivum (bread wheat)
Lineage: Eukaryota; Viridiplantae; Streptophyta; Magnoliopsida; Poales; Poaceae
Description: long non-coding RNA (TAES_LNC009929)
Source: RNAcentral